Molecule: long non-coding RNA, 911 nt
Organism: Chiroxiphia lanceolata (lance-tailed manakin)
Lineage: Eukaryota; Metazoa; Chordata; Aves; Passeriformes; Pipridae
Exons: 3
Source: RefSeq, a predicted model, not a curated record
AGUCUGACGAUGGCAGGAACCUCUGAGCCAGCCCAGGUGCCCCUCCUGUGCAUGAAAGAUGGCUUCGCAUCCCCGGCUCUCGGAAAGAUAAGUGCAGGGCAGGGCCCCAGAGAGGGGUUGGGAGUCGGGGCAAGUCUGUGCCUCGCCUGGAGGGAUUUUUGAAAUUAGUGCGGUGCAAGGGGUAUCCGGGAACAGGUUAUUUGGACGCAUCAAAGGAAGGGCUUACUUUUUCUCAUUGGAUUGACGUGUGCAGGGCAGAGCAGUUCGGGUCUGUGUCACGUCCUUUGUCUCGUCCGUGUUUUGUGUCACGUGGUGUGUGGGGUGUCUCACUUGGGGUCAGCCUGGAACUGCUGUGCCCUGCUACGUGGAUCAGUGGGUAGAUGGCACAUGGCUCCGGGUCUCAUGUCAACCUGUCAGUUCCCUUAGACAGUCGAGCCGAUGGCUGUGCAGUCGGUGAGCAGGAUGGUCUUGCGAUGCCCUGCUUGGGUGUAUAGAGUGCCGGCUAGGUAGAGUAGCAAAGAGUGUCUAGGGUUUAGAGGUUUUUGGCUUUCCUUGUGAGCAAUCCCUAAAUGUUUGAGAGCUGAGUGUUUGAGCAUUUCCCCAUUUCAUUUGCAGGGGCGGUCUUGGGAGCAGCUGAAGAGAGAGGAGCCUUCUAGGUAUCCCAGAAGAUGAGAGCCACAGUGUCCGACUCCGGUCAGAGCCAGCGCCCCGAGGACCUGCCUCGGUGACAGUGAGUAGAGGGAUCAUGGGGGCUGGGGCCACGUGCCACACUGCUCAGAUAUGGUGUCUGGUUUUCUUUCUCGCAGUUGACUCCUAGUAGUCUGACGAUGGCAGGAACCUCUGAGCCAGCCCAGGUGCCCCUCCUGUGCCUGCAAGAUGGCUUUGCAUCCCCGGCUGUCGGAAAGAUAAGU